AGUGAACGCUGGCGGUAGGCCUAACACAUGCAAGUCGAACGGCAGCACAGUAAGAGCUUGCUCUUACGGGUGGCGAGUGGCGGACGGGUGAGGAAUACAUCGGAAUCUACUUUUUCGUGGGGGAUAACGUAGGGAAACUUACGCUAAUACCGCAUACGACCUACGGGUGAAAGCAGGGGAUCUUCGGACCUUGCGCGAUUGAAUGAGCCGAUGUCGGAUUAGCUAGUUGGCGGGGUAAAGGCCCACCAAGGCGACGAUCCGUAGCUGGUCUGAGAGGAUGAUCAGCCACACUGGAACUGAGACACGGUCCAGACUCCUACGGGAGGCAGCAGUGGGGAAUAUCGGACAAUGGGCGCAAGCCUGAUCCAGCCAUACCGCGUGGGUGAAGAAGGCCUUCGGGUUGUAAAGCCCUUUUGUUGGGAAAGAAAGGCAGCAGGUUAAUACCCCGCUGUUCUGACGGUACCCAAAGAAUAAGCACCGGCUAACUUCGUG
This 492-nucleotide ribosomal RNA is filed under the name uncultured bacterium. RNAcentral describes it as "partial 16S ribosomal RNA". It matches the Rfam family "Bacterial small subunit ribosomal RNA", at positions 29 to 507 of the family's 1533-position model. The record is from RNAcentral.